AUGCCACCGCGGCCGUCCCUCCAGUCGCUGCUCCUCAUGGCCGCCUCCACCUCCACCUCCGCGGGCGCCGGGGGCUCGGGCCUCCUCCUCGCCGCGCGCCGCCGCUUCCCCGCCGCCUUCGCCACCGCGGGCGGCCAGCGCAUCCGCCUGCUCCACUCCUUCUCCUCCCGGACCCGCCUCCCCCGGCGGGCCGAGCUCGCCUGCUGCUUCGGGACCGCCCCCGCCGAGGCCGUGCCCGCCGCCGCCCCCGCGACCCCGCGCUCCAGGAAUGUUCGUUCGAUGGAGGAGAGAAGGGCCUGUGAAGAACGACUAGGGCAGGUAGUUGAGAAGAUGAAAAAGGAAGGGAUAGAUAUGAGCCAAUGGAGGCUUGGCACUUUUCAACGGACGAUUUGCCCACAGUGCGAAGGGGGCUCAACCGAGGAACGAAGCCUCAGCGUCUUCAUCCGGGAAGAUGGUACACAUGGAAACUGGACUUGUUUUAGAGCAAAUUGUGGAUGGAAAGGCUAUACCCAGCCUGAUGGAGUUUCGAAGGCGUACCAAGCAAAGAAGGACCCGGGAAAUGAAAAUGAAAGUGACCAGGAAGUCAAAGCAAAUCAGCCAGUCAAGGUUAUCAGAAAACUUCGUGAAGAGGACCUGCGUCUCGAACCUCUUUGUGAUGAGCUUGUGACAUACUUUUCAGAAAGAAUGAUAUCGGCAAAAACACUUCGAAGGAACAACGUAUCGCAACGUAAAAGGAAUAACAAGAUUGUUAUUGCUUUUACAUAUAGACGUGAUAAAGUCCUUGUUGGCUGCAAAUACAGGGAAGUCUCUAAGAAAUUUUCACAGGAGGCGAACACAGAGAAAAUUUUGUAUGGUCUGGAUGAUAUAAAGCAAGCACGCGAUAUUAUCAUUGUUGAGGGUGAAAUUGAUAAACUUUCCAUGGAGGAGGCUGGCUAUCGUAAUUGUGUGAGUGUGCCAGAUGGUGCACCAGCGCAAGUAUCAAACAAACUCCCGGAUAAAGAUCAUGAUAAGAAGUAUUCAUAUCUGUGGAACUGCAAAGAGUAUCUUGAUCCGGCAUCUAGGAUAAUACUGGCAACGGAUGCUGAUCCUCCAGGGCAGGCUCUUGCUGAGGAACUUGCUCGACGUCUUGGUAAAGAAAGGUGUUGGAGGGUCAAAUGGCCAAAGAAGAAUGAGACGGAAUUUUGCAAAGAUGCUAACGAGGUACUUAUGUUCUUAGGACCACAAGCAUUGAAAGAGGUUAUAGAAGGAAUUCAUGGGGAUGAGCUUGGAAUUCCUACUGGUUGGAAAUGUAUGGAUGGGCUCUACAAGGUUGUUCCUGGGGAAUUGACCAUAGUAACAGGAGUACCAAAUUCCGGCAAAAGUGAGUGGAUCGAUGCAUUACUGUGUAAUAUAAACAAUCAGGUUGGGUGGAAAUUUGUACUAUGCUCGAUGGAAAACAAGGUCAGAGACCAUGCCCGGAAACUAUUGGAGAAGCACAUUAAGAAACCUUUCUUUGAUGCCAGAUAUGGGGGUUCUGUGGAACGGAUGAAUCAAGAUGAAUUUGAAGAAGGCAAAGAAUGGUUGAAUGAGUCAUUCCAUCUGAUUAGGUGUGAAGAUGAUUGCCUUCCAUCCAUCGAUUGGGUUCUCAAUCUUGCUAAAGCUGCAGUUCUAAGACAUGGAGUACGUGGUCUUGUGAUUGAUCCUUAUAAUGAGCUUGACCAUCAGCGCCCCCCAAAUCAAACCGAGACAGAAUAUGUCAGCCAGAUCCUUACGAAGAUUAAGCGCUUUGCUCAACAUCAUUCAUGUCACGUAUGGUUUGUUGCGCACCCUAGGCAGCUUCACAACUGGACUGGCGCACCGCCUAAUAUGUACGACAUCAGUGGAAGUGCGCAUUUCAUAAACAAAUGUGAUAAUGGUAUCGUCAUACACCGGAACAGGGAUCCAGAUGCUGGCCCUGUGGAUGUCGUGCAGGUCUGUAUGAAGAAGGUUCGGAACAAAGUGAUUGGGCAAAUAGGGGAUGCUUUCUUGACCUAUGACCGGGUUACUGGUGAAUACAAGGAAGCCGACGAGGCCAUUGUAGCAAAGGUGGUGAAGCAGCAGAUUCGUCAGAAAUCGACGACAAGUUACCAACGCUGA
RNAcentral lists this ribosomal RNA (2115 nucleotides) under Triticum aestivum (bread wheat). RNAcentral's name for it is "partial small subunit ribosomal RNA". Lineage: Eukaryota; Viridiplantae; Streptophyta; Magnoliopsida; Poales; Poaceae. The record is from RNAcentral.